This 257-nucleotide unclassified non-coding RNA is filed under the name uncultured fungus. RNAcentral describes it as "partial contains small subunit ribosomal RNA, internal transcribed spacer 1, and 5.8S ribosomal RNA". The stretch from base 1 to 73 matches the Rfam family "Eukaryotic small subunit ribosomal RNA", at positions 1759 to 1831 of the family's 1831-position model. Lineage: Eukaryota; Fungi. The record is from RNAcentral.
GCAAACUUGGUCAUUUAGAGGAAGUAAAAGUCGUAACAAGGUUUCCGUAGGUGAACCUGCGGAAGGAUCAUUCAUAAUAAAAGUGAAUUUUAUGGCACUUUUAAAACAAUCCAUAUCCACCUUGUGUGCAAUGUUUUUUUUUUAUAAUAAACUCAUUUAACAUAUUUUGUCUGAAAUAUUUUUUAUGAAUUACUUAAUUCUAAAAUAUAACUUUCAACAACGGAUCUCUUGGCUCUCGCAUCGAUGAAGAACGCAGC